This 420-nucleotide ribosomal RNA is filed under the name uncultured bacterium. RNAcentral's name for it is "bacterial SSU rRNA". It matches the Rfam family "Bacterial small subunit ribosomal RNA", at positions 355 to 774 of the family's 1533-position model. The record is from RNAcentral.
UAAGGAAUAUUGCUCAAUGGGAGAAAUCCUGAAGCAGCAACGCCGCGUGGAGGAUGAAGGGUCUAUGACUUGUAAACUCCUGUAAAGAAGGAAAAAAUUCCCAUUAGAUGGGAGAUGAUGGUACUUCUGGAGUAAGCCCCGGCUAACUACGUGCCAGCAGCCGCGGUAAUACGUAGGGGGCAAGCGUUGUCCGGAUUUACUGGUGGUAAAGGGUGCUCAGGCGGAUUUGUAAGUCAGAGGUGAAAUCUUACAGCUUAACUGUGAAACUGCCUUUGAUACUGCAAGCCUAGAGUAUGGAAGAGAGUGAUGGAAUAUCUGGUGUAGCAGUGAAAUGCGUAGAUAUCAGAUAGAACACCAAUGGCGAAGGCAGUCACUUGGUCCAUUACUGACGCUAAAGCACGAAAGCGUGGGUAGCAAACA